RNAcentral lists this ribosomal RNA (713 nucleotides) under uncultured Lachnospiraceae bacterium. RNAcentral describes it as "bacterial SSU rRNA". It matches the Rfam family "Bacterial small subunit ribosomal RNA", at positions 63 to 776 of the family's 1533-position model. Lineage: Bacteria; Bacillati; Bacillota; Clostridia; Lachnospirales; Lachnospiraceae. The record is from RNAcentral.
CGAACGAGAAUCACUGGAAGGAGUUUUCGGACAACGGAAGGUGAGGACAGUGGCGGACGGGUGAGUAACGCGUGAGGAACCUGCCUUUCAGAGGGGGACAACAGUUGGAAACGACUGCUAAUACCGCAUGACACAUAGAGAUCGCAUGGUUUUUAUGUCAAAGAUUUAUCGCUGAAAGAUGGCCUCGCGUCUGAUUAGCUAGUUGGUGAGGUAACGGCCCACCAAGGCGACGAUCAGUAGCCGGACUGAGAGGUUGACCGGCCACAUUGGGACUGAGAUACGGCCCAGACUCCUACGGGAGGCAGCAGUGGGGAAUAUUGGGCAAUGGGCGCAAGCCUGACCCAGCAACGCCGCGUGAAGGAAGAAGGCUUUCGGGUUGUAAACUUCUUUUGUCGGGGACGAGUAGAAGACGGUACCUGGCGAAUAAGCCACGGCUAACUACGUGCCAGCAGCCGCGGUAAUACGUAGGUGGCAAGCGUUGUCCGGAUUUACUGGGUGUAAAGGGCGUGCAGCCGGGAAUGCAAGUCAGAUGUGAAAUCCAUGGGCUUAACCCAUGAACUGCAUUUGAAACUGUAUUUCUUGAGUACUGGAGAGGCAAUCGGAAUUCCUAGUGUAGCGGUGAAAUGCGUAGAUAUUAGGAGGAACACCAGUGGCGAAGGCGGAUUGCUGGACAGCAACUGACGGUGAGGCGCGAAAUGUGGGGAGCAAACAGG